CCUACGGGUGGCAGCAGUGAGGAAUAUUGGUCAAUGGACGAGAGUCUGAACCAGCCAAGUAGCGUGAAGGAUGACUGCCCUAUGGGUUGUAAACUUCUUUUGUCAGGGAGCAAGGUGCAGGUCGGGACCUGCUGUGAGAGUACCUGAAGAAAAAGCAUCGGCUAACUCCGUGCCGGCAGCCGCGGUAAUACGUAGGAGGCGAGCGUUAUCCGGAAUGACUGGGCGGAAAGGGUGCGUAGGUGGUUUGGCAAGUUAGUAGCGUAACUCCAAGGCUCAACCUUGGAACUACUACUAAAACUGUUGGACUUGAGUGCAGGAGGGGCAACCGGAAUUCCUGGUGUAGCGGUGGAAUGCGUAGAUAUUAGGAGGAACACCAGUGGCGAAGGCGGGUUGCUAGACUGUGACUGACACUGAGGCACGAAAGCGUGGGGAGCAAACAGGAUUAGAUACCCUUGUAGUC
RNAcentral lists this ribosomal RNA (460 nucleotides) under uncultured bacterium. RNAcentral describes it as "partial 16S ribosomal RNA". It matches the Rfam family "Bacterial small subunit ribosomal RNA", at positions 338 to 795 of the family's 1533-position model. The record is from RNAcentral.